This is a long non-coding RNA of Carassius auratus (goldfish), 839 nucleotides long. RefSeq lists it as uncharacterized. The record is from RefSeq and is a predicted model, not a curated record. Lineage: Eukaryota; Metazoa; Chordata; Actinopteri; Cypriniformes; Cyprinidae. The transcript is spliced from 3 exons.
GAGGUGGAGUUGAAUGCAGUGGGAGGUUUCACUGCAUGAAGUACUUUAACUCAGAAGUCAGGCGUAGGGGUUUGGCUUCGGGCGCAGCGGCUGUAAAGACAAUACUGACUUUGCCGACACACUGCUAAAGUGGCUCUGACUAAACCACACUGGGUGUUCUCAUCGCCUCCCGAAACAUGCAUGAAUGGAAAUUAAAGUAGUUGGAGGUGUUUUAACACAAAAGAAGAUGUUUUGAAAAAUGGCUAAGUGGUGGGUUUUUUCCGUACAAUGAAGGUCAGUGGAGUCUGAUGUUUUUUUGGACUCCAGCAUUCUUCAAUAACAAAAGCCACACAGCUUUGAAAUUGCAUGAGGGAUGCCAUUUGAAAGUUCUGCCAACUUUUCUCCACUUUUAUUGACAGUCUAAGGCUCAUGCUGUGGGUCUUCAUUGUGCUUUAAAGUUAAAAGACUGUCAUUUUGUCACAGUAAUUAUGAGGACAAACAAUUACAGCAUCCCGCUGACGAAACAGUGAUGCCAAUCAAGAGCGGCGGCUCUUCCAGAAGCAAGUGGGAGCAGAAUUAAAAUGAGAGAGGAAAACUCAUCAGUGAGCGAGAAGGGGAGAUCAAAUACGCCAAUCAAGAGAUGAGGGUAUGUGCAUGAGUUUGCAAGUGUGUGCAGUUCUGCUGAUAAACAAACUCGGCCAUUAAAAACAGGACCUUGUUGUUGCAUUUCUGAAUUCAAGUACUGCUGCAGUAGAGAUAGACAUUUUAUGUCCCACUCUAAAAUUACCUACACUACUGGAACACAUACACCCGAAAAAAAAAAAAGAAGAAAAAUCACAAAUAACUACAAAGAAACAGAA